This 2137-nucleotide ribosomal RNA is filed under the name human gut metagenome. RNAcentral's name for it is "bacterial LSU rRNA". It matches the Rfam family "Bacterial large subunit ribosomal RNA", at positions 1 to 2002 of the family's 2925-position model. The record is from RNAcentral.
UGUUGCUUGCAAGGGCGUAUGGUGGAUGCCUUGGCAGACAGGACCGAUGAAGGACGUUUGAGGCUGCGAUAUGCCUCGGGGAGCCGCCAACAGGGCUUUGAUCCGAGGAUUUCCGAAUGGGGGAACCCACCGACCGUCAUGGGUCGGUACCGGCUUCGGCCGGGGGGUACGCAGGGAAGUGAAACAUCUCAGUACCUGCAGGAAAGGAUAUUCCGUGAGUAGUGGCGAGCGAAAGCGGAUGAUGGCCAAACCUUGCGCGUGUGAUACCCGUCGGGGGUUGCGCGCGGGGUGUUGCGGGAUCGCGUGCGCCGGCUCCGACGGGCCGGCCGGCAGUUGCAGAAAACCAUGUGUCAGGGGAACCGGGUUGAAUACCGGGCCGCAGAGGGUGAGGGCCCCGUACCUGAACGCGCAUGGUCUGCCGAUCGCGUCUCCCAAGUAGCACGGGUCCCGUGGAACCCCGUGCGAAUCCGCCCAGACCGUUGGGUAAGCCUGAAUAUUCCUGUCUGACCGAUAGCGAACGAGUACCGUGAGGGAAAGGUGAAAAGUACCCCGGGAGGGGAGUGAAACAGUCUCUGAAACCGUGCGCCUACAAUCCGUCGGAGCCCUUUUGUGGGGUGACGGCGUGCCUAUCGAAAAAUGAGUCUGCGAGUCAGUGGCAUGUGGCGAGCAUAACCCGUGUGGGGUAUGCGUAGCGAAGGCGAGUCUUAAAAGGCGUUUGAGUCGCGUGUCCUGGACCCGAAGCGGGAUGAUCUAGCCCUGAGCAGGUUGAAGCGCGGGUAAGACCGCGUGGAGGACCGAACCCACCUGGGUUGAAAACCGGGGGGAUGACUUGGGGCUAGGGGUGAAAGGCCAAUCAAAUUCCGUGAUAGCUGGUUCUCUCCGAAAUGCAUUUGGGUGCAGCGUCGGGUCAUUACGUCCCGGGGGUAGAGCUACUGGAUGCUUGCGGGCCCGUAUCGGGUACCAACAGCAACCAAACUCCGAAUACCGGUGACGCGUAUCCCGGCAGUGAGUCGGCGGGGGAUAAGCUUCGUCGUCGAAAGGGAAACAGCCCAGACCGUCGUCUAAGGUCCCGAAGCGUGUGCUAAGUGGGAAAGGAUGUGGAGUCGCAUAGACAGCCAGGAGGUUGGCUCAGAAGCAGCCACCCUUGAAAGAGUGCGUAACAGCUCACUGGUCUAGUGGUUCCGCGCCGACAAUGUAGCGGGGCUCAAGCACACCACCGAAGACGCGGCAGUAUUUUGUACUGGGUAGGAGAGCGUCCCAUGAGGGGCGAAGCGGCCGUGUGAACGCGCCGUGGACUUCAUGGGAGUGAGAAUGCAGACAUGAGUAGCGAGAGACGGGUGAAGAUCCCGUCCGCUGGAUGACCAAGGGUUCCAGGGCCACGUUCAUCGUCCCUGGGUGAGUCGGGUCCUAAGGCGAGGCCGACAGGCGUAGUCGAAUGGAUGAACGGGUCGAUAUUCCCGUACCGGCUUUCAGCCGCCAAAACCGAGGCUUGGAGUACUAACCUCCGGGUCCGGGCUUACUGCUCCUUCGGGGGCGGGAUGCCCUGGCCUGUUGGGACCGAUCCUUGUAGUAGGUCAGCGCAGGAGUGACGCAGAAGGGUAGCCGGCCGCGGAGGUGGUCUUCCGUGGUCAAGCACGCAGGGCGUGGGACAGGCAAAUCCGUCCCGCAUGGGUCCGAGGUGCGAUGAUGGGGGCCUUAUGGCCCGAUAUCCGGUGAUCCCGGCUGCCGAGAAAAGCUUCGGCGUCAGGCUCGAAGCCGCCCGUACCCCAAACCGACACUGGUGGUCAGGUAGAGAAUACCAAAGCGAUCGAGCGAAUCCUGGUCAAGGAACUCGGCAAAUCACUCCCGUUCCUUCGGUUUAAGGGAGACCCCCGAUGGUGAACACACUUGCUGUGGGAGCUUUUGGGGGUGGCACAGACCAGGGGGUAGCGACUGUUUACCAAAAACACAGGUGCAUGCGAAGGCGCAAGCCGCUGUAUAUGCACUGACGCCUGCCCGGUGCCGGAAGGUUAAGAGGAUCCGUCAGCCUUCGGGUGAAGCGGUGAAUUCAAGCCCCGGUAAACGGCGGUGGUAACUAUAACCAUCCUAAGGUAGCGAAAUUCCUUGUCGGGUAAGUUCCGACCUGCACGAAUGGCGU